RNAcentral lists this ribosomal RNA (253 nucleotides) under uncultured bacterium. RNAcentral describes it as "partial 16S ribosomal RNA". It matches the Rfam family "Bacterial small subunit ribosomal RNA", at positions 524 to 776 of the family's 1533-position model. The record is from RNAcentral.
UACGGAGGAUCCAAGCGUUGUCCGGAUUUAUUGGGUUUAAAGGGUGCGUAGGCGGAUGAUUAAGUCAGUGGUGAAAGCCGGCAGCUCAACUGUCGAACUGCCAUUGAAACUGAUCGUCUUGAAUGUAGUAGAGGUAGGCGGAAUGUAUCAUGUAGCGGUGAAAUGCUUAGAUAUGAUACAGAACACCAAUUGCGAAAGCAGCUUACUAUACUAUUAUUGACGCUGAGGCACGAAAGCGUGGGGAUCAAACAGG